UACAGAGGGUGCAAGCGUUAAUCGGAAUUACUGGGCGUAAAGCGCGCGUAGGUGGUUGAGUAAGCGAGAUGUGAAAGCCCGGCUCAACCUGGGAACGGCACUUCGAACUGCUCGGCUAGAAUAUGGUAGAGGGUAGUGGAAUUUCCUGUGUAGCGGUGAAAUGCGUAGAUAUAGGAAGGAACACCAGUGGCGAAGGCGGC
This 200-nucleotide ribosomal RNA is filed under the name uncultured bacterium. Its description in RNAcentral is "partial 16S ribosomal RNA". It matches the Rfam family "Bacterial small subunit ribosomal RNA", at positions 524 to 725 of the family's 1533-position model. The record is from RNAcentral.